GUCAAAGUAGAAAUCCAGCUAGAGCAGUAGACACCAUAUCAUCAACCGAUGUUCAAUUUCGAGGGAAUAUUUGUGGUCCAACAAGGCGGCACCAUGAAAGCAAAUGGUCUGUUCAGUAUCUGGAUUGGUGAGAGAUUCGUAGUCGUCGCCGGCAUCAACCCCCGCGGACCGGAGAUCGACUACAAUCCGGUGUCUCUUACUCCGGUAGGUCUGAUCGGUAUCACGUACAAAAAUGUCAGCAUGAUUGUUACAAUCUCCAGUCCGCUCCACACUGUCUAUCAUCACCACCGGAAAUAGAUUACCACUACCAGCGAAGCGAAAGUAAACAAAUUAACCAUUGAGAGCAGUCAGUAUUUACCUAAAAUAUCUAAUAAUAACUCGCUCCUGGAUAACCAGUGCGUGUUUGGCAUCUUACAGAAAGAUACAUAUGCUUAAAAAUGUGUAUCUAUCUUGCAAUUCGUAUUGACGAAGCGUUAUUUACACAAAUUUAUGACUGCUUGGUACCGGGUUGAAAUUAGAACUUCUCGAAGAAAAAGCUUUUCUUUCAUGAUUACAUGGUUUGCCAUCGGGUAUGCUGUUGAUUUCCUAUUCUUAAUAUAUACCAUAUUAAAGCUAUUUCUUGUCUUGAUUUGAUUAUUGUUCAUGGAAAUCUAUUAAAUUAAAAUAACUGUAGUGUACGGCGAAUAGUUGUUUAUGGCAAAAGUCGUGUACGGUGAAUAGUUAAAGUCAUGUACGGCGAAUAGUUGCAGCGUAUUGGCCAAAGUUGUUGCAAAUUAAAAUGAUUUUAAGAAAAUACAUUUUCAAUGUACAUAUAUAUUCUUAAAGUCGGACUUUUUCCCCUUUUAAUGAUGUAUAAAUCGUAAUUCUAAACUUUGUUUUUGCCCACCGAAUUAAUACGCAAACACAGCACAUAUGCGGAAAUUAAAACAAUUGCUACGCCAUGUGCGUUUGCGGUUGAACGCUACAACGCUGUGAACAGAAAGUCAGCCGAGUUCCAAUAAUUACACGAGUUGUAUAUCAAAUCCUGAUUGGAAUCCACUUGUUAGUAAAUAUUUUAUCGAUUCAUCUUGAUUUUAAAACAUAAAGAAAUAAUAAAACAAAUCGCUAAAAAGCUGCUUUUUUAGCGGGAAACAAUAUGAAUUUUAUCGUUUGACGUGUUAAUAAUGAGGUCAUGAGCACGCGCGCUUAAUAUUUGCAAAAAGAUAAUGUUUUUUGCUGUCUGUGUUGCAUUUUGUGUUUAACAAAUACCACAUCUUGGGAUCAAAUAGUUUGGCUUGUUGAAUCUGAUUCGAUUUCACUAAAGAUUAUUACUUUAUAGUUUAUUCCUAGUAAUAUGACCAUACUCCACACAUGACUGAUAUACCGGUAAGAACUUCCUAUUGACCAUGAUAUAAAAAAUAUAUCAGGAAACGUUAUAUCAGGCAGUUAUCAAUGCGGUUGUAUGAUAAAACGUUGCCUGAUAUUUUAUUUUAUAACUGCAGCUUUUUAGCGAUUUUUUCAUUAUUUCUUUAAAAUUGGGGGCGUAGAGGUAUGAUAAACAGAAAAACAGGUUAGAUCUGUUUGUAAUAUAUUGUAAUAUAUCAGGCUCGGCCUUGCCUGAUAUAUAACAUAAAGAUCAGGUAGUAACCUGUUAUUCGCUAUGUAGCAUGUGCCCGUAAUACAAAACAUUUUUUUUAAAUAUCAACAAUGCAUCAGACGUAUUCUUUGGCCAUUAACGGUCUCAUCGUAAAGAAUAUAAUUGUAUUUGUUUGUUUUAUACCAAGAUGGUCACGUAUUUGCGAAAUUUUCAUUUAUUUUCCCUUACAAACUCAAAACUAUCUGCCGUACACAAUUUAAUUUUAUUUUGCUAUACGCCGUACACGUCAGGUUCUAUUCGCCGUACACAACGAAGUUUAUAUUUUAGCCAAACAUUUGCAUACUAACUUGAUUUGUGGGCUGAAGCUUGCAAAAACCGAUAGUUUCUAUAAUUAUUUGCACACCAUUGAAAUAUUCGGCAAAAUAAUUAUAUCUUCCUCGGACAAAAGGAAACAAUAUGUCCCAAUGAACUUAAUUUUCGGUACCAGGUACCUGAUGAUUUAUCUAUUUCAACACUCGAAUGUAUUUAUAAAGAACUCCAACUACUUACGAUAGAAGUUUGAUAUGUCCACUAUUAAUUUGUCACACAGUUUUUUGAAAACGUUCGCGAUAAAAAUGGUAAAACUUAUUCUUUUCACGAGCACUACCUCUUGCGUGAUGUUUACUUUCGCUUCGCUGGUUAUCUAUUUCCGGUGGUGAUGAUAGACAGUGCUCCAAGGCAAGAAUUCCUUUCAGUUAUGCGGCAGUAGCAAGGCCGCCGCUAUAUGGGAUUAUUUCACCACCGCCAUUGAUAACCUAAAUUAAGCGGCGACAUUUGGUGCAGCGCGUCACUUAGUGUUUCAUCAUCAUCAUCAUUAGACGCCUGUGUGGAUACAGAUCAUGAAUAUACAUAUCAGAGGGGCUUCAUAAGCCUUACCCUUCUCAAUUACAGAUGUCUGUCUCCGCAAAGGUUUUCCAUUGCAGAUAGAAGUUUCAGCUCUAUUUUUUUGCCCGAUAUGGUAUGUGGACCAACCGAUGAUAAGCACGGGGCGUGCCGUCAGCAUGUUCUGAGAGGUCACAGUUUAGACUGUGUCGACAUGUCAUUAGACAGCUUCAUCAAUAAUAAUGAUACCAACCAAAAUGCAGCAAUUCAACAGGAAGACUUUACUGCGCCCGAUACAGUGUAUUGGGCAACGUUGCGGGCAACUAACCGACGAGCGACGGACGGAUAUGUCAAGCAAGCAGCCCAGUUUACUUGAGAGAUUCCUGCGCUUCUGUACCUGCUGUAUAAGUAAGCGUUGAUUUUUUUAGCAUUUAUCUUAGAUUUUUUACUCGAGAAAUCAAAUUUUCACAUUUUCGUUUAUAGCAAUACAUUAAAUGCAUGAACAACGUC
This is a long non-coding RNA of Dreissena polymorpha, 2947 nucleotides long. RefSeq lists it as uncharacterized. NCBI's taxonomy places the organism in Eukaryota, Metazoa, Mollusca, Bivalvia, Myida, Dreissenidae. The record is from RefSeq and is a predicted model, not a curated record. The transcript is spliced from 2 exons.